RNAcentral lists this transfer RNA (78 nucleotides) under Eubacteriales Family XIII. Incertae Sedis bacterium. RNAcentral describes it as "tRNA-Val". It matches the Rfam family "tRNA". From Rfam's summary of the family: Transfer RNA (tRNA) molecules are approximately 80 nucleotides in length. Their secondary structure includes four short double-helical elements and three loops (D, anti-codon, and T loops). Lineage: Bacteria; Bacillati; Bacillota; Clostridia; Peptostreptococcales; Anaerovoracaceae. The record is from RNAcentral.
GCGGGCAUAGCUCAGCUGGUUCAGAGCACAUGGGUCACAACCAUGGGGCCAGGGGUUCGAAUCCCUUUGCCCGCACCA